Molecule: ribosomal RNA, 401 nt
Filed under: Escherichia coli
Lineage: Bacteria; Pseudomonadati; Pseudomonadota; Gammaproteobacteria; Enterobacterales; Enterobacteriaceae
Description: bacterial SSU rRNA
Rfam family: Bacterial small subunit ribosomal RNA
Source: RNAcentral
ACUGGCGGACGGGUGAGUAACACGUGGAUCAUCUACCUUCUAGUGGGGAAUACCACCGGGAAACUGGAGACAAUACCGCAUAAGCUCGUAAGAGGAAAGCAGCAAUGCGCUGGAAGAGGAGUCCGCGGCUGAUUAGCUAGUUGGCGGGGUAACGGCCCACCAAGGCGAAGAUCGGUAGCCGGCCUGAGAGGGCACACGGCCACACUGGCACUGAAACACGGGCCAGACUCCUACGGGAGGCAGCAGUGGGGAAUCUUGCACAAUGGAGGAAACUCUGAUGCAGCGACGCCGCGUGAGCGAUGAAGCCCUUCGGGGUGUAAAGCUCUUUCGACGGGAACGAUGAUGACGGUACCCGAAGAAGAAGCUGCGGCUAACUACGUGCCAGCAGCCGCGGUAAUACG